RNAcentral lists this ribosomal RNA (3162 nucleotides) under Triticum aestivum (bread wheat). Its description in RNAcentral is "partial small subunit ribosomal RNA". The record is from RNAcentral. Lineage: Eukaryota; Viridiplantae; Streptophyta; Magnoliopsida; Poales; Poaceae.
AUGCCCUCUGUCCUGUCUCUGCUCUGUAUUUUGUUCAGCCUUUUCUCCUUCAACACAUCGUCAUUAGCUGCCACACAAGCAAAUGUGUCUCAGAUUGAUCGCCAUGCCCUCCUUUGCUUUAAAUCUGGCAUCACCUUCGAUCCCCUCGGCAUCCUACACUCAUGGAACAAUGGCUCGCUUGAUUUUUGCAGCUGGAAAGGGGUCGCUUGUGGCACCAAGUUCCCGCCCCGGGUGGUCUCUCUUAACCUCACCUCCGCUCGUCUUCGUGGGCAGCUAUCUGGAUGCGUCAGCAACCUGGCAUUUCUUUCCCGGAUGAACCUUGCUGAUAAUCAUCUGUCAGGAACCAUCCCCGAAGAGUUGGGUAAGCUUCCAAGCCUCCAUACGCUGAAUCUUGCCGGCAACAAUCUUCAAGGUAACAUCCCUGAUUCCUUAGGCGCUAGCAGUUUUCUUAGCUAUGUCGACCUUGCAAACAACACUCUUACCAGUGGCAUCCCUGUCUCGCUGGCCAACAGCGUCUCACUCACCACACUUAUACUGUCACGUAAUAACCUCUCUGGAGUGAUCCCCUCUACUCUGUUUGAUAACUCGUCCAAGCUUUCUGUGGUUGACCUCCGGAUGAAUUCUUUAGCUGGUCCCAUCCCACAUUUCCGUAAGGUCACAGCACUCAAAUUUCUUCGCCUGACAGACAACUUGCUCUCUGGAAGCAUACCUCCAUCAAUAGGCAAUGCUUCUUCCCUCACCUCUAUAUUGCUCGGCCAAAAUAAGUUAUCAGGAUCAAUUCCAGAGACUUUAGGUCACAUUACAAAACUCAUUGAGCUUGACCUAGGUUUCAACAGUCUAUCAGGGAUUGUCCCGUUGCCUCUUUACAACGUGACAUCACUCAAAUAUUUUAGUGUGGUCAGCAAUGCCCUUGUUGGACAGAUGCCAUCCCACAUUGGUUACUCGCUACCAAACCUCCAGUUCCUUAUCAUGGGAAGCAACAGGCUGGAGGGCCUGAUCCCUGCUUCACUAACCAACAUGUUAAAUCUCCAAACACUUGACCUUUCAAACAACUCGCUACAUGGCUAUGUUCCUUCUCUUGGUUCGUUGGCAAACUUGCGCCGGUUAGAUUUAGGAAGGAACUUGCUAGAAGCACAUGACUGGUCAUUUCUUACAUCUCUAGCAAAUUGCACCCAGCUGAUAAAAUUGUCGUUGGAAGGGAAUGCUCUAAAUGGCAGCCUGCCUAUAUCAAUUGUUAACCUUUCCAAGAGGCUACAAGAUUUAUCGCUUGGGUCAAACCAAAUUUCGGGCUCCAUACCUGUUGAGAUUACCAAUCUUGUUAAUCUCACUUUGCUUAGGAUGGAAAGCAAUUUUCUUUCUGGAAGCAUACCUUCUACCAUCGGGAAGCUACGAAACUUAUAUAUCCUAAAUCUAUCAAAGAACAAAUUAUCAGGUCAUAUCCCUCCCUCAGUUGGUGACAUCGCCCAACUUGGCAAGCUUUAUCUUGACAAUAACAACUUGAGUGGAAACAUACCUGGUAGUUUAGGUCAGUGCAAGGGACUUCUUGAACUGAACUUGUCUCGGAACAAUCUUGGCGGGUCAGUACCAUCCGAACUGUUUGCUAAUCCUCCACUCUCCUUGGUUCUGGACUUCUCACACAACAGUCUCACAGGGGAACUACCAUUGAUAGUUGGUACACAUGGCAGUGGUAAUGGUCCAGUAUCCCUUCACAUGGAAGGAAACAAGUUUCAUGGACAAAUUCCAAAAAGAUGGUAUCUACUAGUAUCAACCCAACAGAUUAAUCUGUCUGAUAAUGACUUAUCCGGUGCCGUGCCUGAAUUCUUUGAGCAACUUCAUAUGCUGAAGCAACUUGAUCUGUCUUACAAUAACUUGGAAGGGUCUGUUCCUACAAGUGGGAUCUUUGAGAAUUCUGCUGCAGUAGUUUUGGAUGGCAACAAGGGACUCUGUUCAAAUUCCUCUGGGCGAGAAUUACCACUUUGUCCUCACAUCUCAGCAUCAGCGACUAAAACAAAGCACCAACUGUCCUUGCUGGCGAUCUCACUGCUAAUUGUACUACCACCAUUUACUAUUGGUUCCCUAGUGUUGUUAUGGUUUCUGCUCACUCUUUGGAAGAAAGGGCUGUUUUCAUUUUCGCGAUGGGAUCUUGUGUCCAAGAUGUUUCCUAAUAGAAGAGAAGUGCAUACAGCCCCGUUCCAUGAUGAGAAGAAGCUGAAGAGAGUGUCAUACCAGGACAUUCUUAAAGCUACCAACUGGUUUUCUUCGGUCCAUACUAUCAGCUCAACCUGCACUGGUUCAGUUUAUGUUGGUAGGUUCAAGUCUGACAGGAGCCUAGUUGCCAUCAAAGUAUUCAACUUGAGUGAACCUGGUGGAUAUGAUAGUUACCUUAUUGAGUGUGAAGUGCUGCGAAGCAUCCGCCAUAGGAAUAUAAUGCGACCUGUGACUGUAUGCUCAACAUUGGAUUCACAAAACAAUGAGUUCAAAGCACUAAUCUUCGAGUUCAUGGUUAAUGGAAGCCUGGAGAGAUGGUUGCAUUCUGAGCAAAACAAUGGAAUCCUAGACAAAGUGCUAAGCUUUGGCCAGAGGAUAAGCAUAGCAACAGAUGUGGCUUCUGCUCUUGAUUAUGUCCACAACCAACUGACGCCUCCUUUGAUCCAUUGUGAUUUGAAGCCAAACAAUGUCCUUGUGGAUGAUGACAUGACUGCACGGCUCAGUGACUUUGGCUCAGCACAGUUCCUAUCACCAGGUCUGGCUAUUCCUAAAAGCAUGGAUGAUGUUGGAGGAACCAUUGGGUACAUGGCACCCGAGUAUGGGAUGGGUUGCGGGGUCUCCGUAGGAGGCGACGUGUAUAGUUUCGGAGUGCUUCUGCUGGAGUUGCUUACCGGAAAACGACCUACCGAUGAUAUGUUCGUGGAUGGACUCAGCCUUUGUAAGUUCUGUGAAUCCAUGCUCCCAGACAGAGUUGCAGAGAUUCUAGAUCCUCGUAUGGCGCACGAGGAACAUCAAGGAAGUGUAGAAGCAUGGAUGCAGAGAUAUGUCGUCCCGUUGGUUGCUCUUGGGCUGUCGUGCACCCUGGAAUCUCCCAAGGACAGGCCUGGAAUGAAAGAUGUUUAUGCGGAACUUUCUGCUAUUGGAGCCUCUUUUCUGGAACGCCACGAUGAUUGA